RNAcentral lists this ribosomal RNA (412 nucleotides) under uncultured bacterium. Its description in RNAcentral is "bacterial SSU rRNA". It matches the Rfam family "Bacterial small subunit ribosomal RNA", at positions 107 to 518 of the family's 1533-position model. The record is from RNAcentral.
UGAGUAACACGUAUGCAACCAACCCAUAACAGGGGGAUAACCCGGAGAAAUCCGGACUAAUACCGCAUAAGACCACGAUAUCGCAUGAUAUAGAGGUCAAAUAGUUUAUAGGUUAUGGACGGGCAUGCGUCUGAUUAGCUGGUGGCGGGUAACGCCCACCAAGGCAUCGAUCAGUAGGGGUUCUGAGAGGAAGGUCCCCCACAUUGGAACUGAGACACGGUCCAAACUCCUACGGGAGGCAGCAGUGAGGACUAUUGGUCAAUGGGCGAAAGCCUGAACCAGCCAUGUCGCGUGAAGGAAUGAAGGUCCUAUGGAUUGUAAACUUCUUUUGCAGGAGGGUAAAGUGAGCUACGUGUAGUUCAUUGCAAGUACCCUGCGAAUAAGCAUCGGCUAACUCCGUGCCAGCCGCAGC